Molecule: ribosomal RNA, 534 nt
Filed under: Platycephalus sp. MP-2016
Lineage: Eukaryota; Metazoa; Chordata; Actinopteri; Perciformes; Platycephalidae
Description: partial 16S ribosomal RNA
Rfam family: Bacterial large subunit ribosomal RNA
Source: RNAcentral
GGUCCCGCCUGCCCCGUGACCAUGUGUUUAACGGCCGCGGUAUUUUAACCGUGCGAAGGUAGCGCAAUCACUUGUCCUUUAAAUGGAGACCAGUAUGAAUGGCAAGACGAGGGCUAAACUGUCUCCUCUUUCAAGUCAAUGAAAUUGAUCUCCCCGUGCAGAAGCGGGGAUACGCACAUAAGACGAGAAGACCCUGUGGAGCUUUAGACACCAAGACAACUCACGUUAAGAACCCCUAAACAAAGGGCUAAACUUAGUGAAACCUUGAUCUGAUGUCUUUGGUUGGGGCGACCACGGGGAGAGAAAAAACCCCCACGUGGAACGGGAGCACUGCUUCCCCCACAACUAAGAGCAACAGCUCUAAGCAACAGAACAUCUGACCUAAAGAUCCGGCUCUCCUGCCGAUUGACGAACCGAGUUACCCCAGGGAUAACAGCGCAAUCCCCUUUUAGAGCUCAUAUCGACAAGGGGGUUUACGACCUCGAUGUUGGAUCAGGACAUCCUAAUGGUGCAGCCGCUAUUAAGGGUUCGUUU